RNAcentral lists this ribosomal RNA (491 nucleotides) under uncultured bacterium. Its description in RNAcentral is "partial 16S ribosomal RNA". It matches the Rfam family "Bacterial small subunit ribosomal RNA", at positions 29 to 506 of the family's 1533-position model. The record is from RNAcentral.
AGUGAACGCUGGCGGUAUGCCUAACACAUGCAAGUCGAACGGCCGCACAGUAAGCUCUUUCUCUUACUGUUGGCGAGUGGCGGACGGGUGAGGAAUACAUCGGAAUCUACUUUUUCUUGGGUGAUAACGUAGGGAAACUUACGCUAAUACCGCAUACUACCUACGGGUUAAAGCAGGAGAUCUUCAGACCUUUCGCGAUUGAUUGAGCCGAUGUCGGAUUAGCUAGUUGGCGGGGUAAAGUCCCACCAAGGCGACGAUCCGUAGCUGGUCUGAGAGGAUGAUCAGCCACACUGGAACUGAGACACGGUCCAGACUCCUACGGGAGGCAGCAGUGGGGAAUAUUGGACAAUGGGCGAAAGCCUGAUCCAGCAAUACCGCGUGGGUGAAGAAGGCCUUCGGGUUGUAAAGCCCUUUUGUUGGGAAAGAAAAGAAGCAGGUUAAUACCCCGCUGUUCUGACGGUACCCAAAGAAUAAGCACCGGCUAACUUCGU